AUUGAACGCUGGCGGCAUGCCUAACACAUGCAAGUCGAACGGUAGCGCACCUUGAGGUUCCUAUUACGGGUGGAGGGUGGAGGACGGGACCGGAACAUCUCCGAGUGUCCUGUUUCACGAGGCGAAACGUAUGCUAACUCCGCCUACCAUCGCAGAGGGAAUCCAGGUGACCGCAAGGCAUCUCCGGCCCUCGGCCGACUGGAUGAGCGGAGGGCGGAUUAGGUAGCUGGCGGGGUAAAGGCGUACCAAGGCGACGAUCCGUAGCUGGUCUGAGAGGAUGAUCAGCCACACUGGAACUGAGACACGGCCCAGACUCCUACGGGAGGCAGCAGUGGGGAAUUUUGGACAAUGGGCGCAAGCCUGAUCCAGCCAUACCGCGUGGAGGAUGAAGGCCUUCGGGUUGUAAAGUGCUUUUGUACGGAAGGAAAAGCAGCAGUUUAAUACCGGGAGGUUCUGACGGUACCCUAAGAAUAAGCACCGGCUAACUACGUG
Molecule: ribosomal RNA, 492 nt
Filed under: uncultured bacterium
Lineage: Bacteria
Description: partial 16S ribosomal RNA
Rfam family: Bacterial small subunit ribosomal RNA
Source: RNAcentral